This is a long non-coding RNA of Budorcas taxicolor (takin), 804 nucleotides long. RefSeq lists it as uncharacterized. Lineage: Eukaryota; Metazoa; Chordata; Mammalia; Artiodactyla; Bovidae. The transcript is spliced from 3 exons. The record is from RefSeq and is a predicted model, not a curated record.
GUGAUCUCUGACCCCACGCGGCCGACUGGCCCUAGUAACCCCCCGCUUUCCCUCAUCAUCCCCACGUGGGGCCAUGGACAGAGAGAAGGAACAAGCCAUAAAUCGAGCUGGUAUUGUUCAAGAAGACGUGCAGCCACCAGGGUUGAAAGUGUGGUCGGAUCCAUUUGGCCGGAAAUGAGACUAACACCACCUCUAAUUAUGAAAGUAGACAGAGACUUCAUGCUUUCAGUCCUGCAGCAAGUGCAAUAAGCCACCUGGCUAGAGAACACCGGCUGGAGCAGAAAACUCUAGCAGGCCAUAAAGAGUCCUGUGCCUGAGGAUCACGUCCCUUCUUAAAAGAGCCCUGGAACAAAUCAUACUAUUAGGAGGGUUUUCAUGACUUGGUUUCCUUUCUAAAAAUGAAGCUGUCUCACUCAGCUGGGCUUGAAGGCUAUCUACAUAUUAUUCAGUCUCUACCUCUUAGCCAGCCAAGCUGUGAUAUGAAUACAGGCAACCAGUAGACUGGGGAAGAUUCUAGACUGUUUUGCCAUCCUCCAAAUAGGAAAUUUCAGGGGAAAACUACCAUACUGAGCAGCCUCAUAGGGCUCUUUGAAAAUGUUAAAGUUGAUAAAACUCUUUGAGGACAAGGUACAUUGUACUCUUUAAGAAUAAAUAGUUCAGCUCAACUAUCUCAUUAGCAAGGUUGCUGCAUGUUGAGAAAUAAAUUUGAAGCAAACUAAAUGGGUCUGCAUGCCUAUUAAAAAUCAUUGUUGAAUUGACUGAAGUGAAAAUGUGUAUAUUAAAAUGAUUUCUCUUACUUCAUAA